AGAACGAACGCUGGCGGCAGGCUUAACACAUGCAAGUCGAACGCCCCGCAAGGGGAGUGGCAGACGGGUGAGUAACGCGUGGGAAUCUACCCAGUUCUACGGAAUAACACAGGGAAACUUGUGCUAAUACCGUAUACGCCCUACGGGGGAAAGAUUUAUCGGGAUUGGAUGAGCCCGCGUUGGAUUAGCUAGUUGGUGGGGUAAUGGCCUACCAAGGCGACGAUCCAUAGCUGGUCUGAGAGGAUGAUCAGCCACACUGGGACUGAGACACGGCCCAGACUCCUACGGGAGGCAGCAGUGGGGAAUAUUGGACAAUGGGCGCAAGCCUGAUCCAGCCAUGCCGCGUGAGUGAUGAAGGCCUUAGGGUUGUAAAGCUCUUUCAGUGGGAAGAUAAUGACGGUACCACAGAAGAAGCCCCGGCUAACUUCGUGCCAGCAGCCGC
This 442-nucleotide ribosomal RNA is filed under the name uncultured bacterium. Its description in RNAcentral is "SSU rRNA". It matches the Rfam family "Bacterial small subunit ribosomal RNA", at positions 26 to 518 of the family's 1533-position model. The record is from RNAcentral.